Molecule: transfer RNA, 85 nt
Filed under: Bacteroidales bacterium
Lineage: Bacteria; Pseudomonadati; Bacteroidota; Bacteroidia; Bacteroidales
Description: tRNA-Leu
Rfam family: tRNA
About the family: Transfer RNA (tRNA) molecules are approximately 80 nucleotides in length. Their secondary structure includes four short double-helical elements and three loops (D, anti-codon, and T loops).
Source: RNAcentral
GCCCUGAUGGCGGAAUUGGUAGACGCGCUGGACUCAAAAUCCAGUGCCCUUUAAAGGCGUGCCGGUUCGACCCCGGCUUGGGGCA